UACAGAGGGUGCGAGCGUUGUCCGGAAUUAUUGGGCGUAAAGAGCGCGUAGGCGGUCCGAUAAGUCGGCUGUGAAAGUCAGGGGCUCAACCCUUGGAAGCCGGCCGAUACUGUCGGACUAGAGUCCGGAAGAGGCGAGUGGAAUUCCCGGUGUAGCGGUGAAAUGCGCAGAUAUCGGGAGGAACACCAAUGGCGAAGGCAGCUCGCUGGGACGGUACUGACGCUGAGGCGCGAAAGCGUGGGGAGCAAACAGG
Molecule: ribosomal RNA, 253 nt
Filed under: uncultured bacterium
Lineage: Bacteria
Description: partial 16S ribosomal RNA
Rfam family: Bacterial small subunit ribosomal RNA
Source: RNAcentral